Molecule: ribosomal RNA, 253 nt
Filed under: uncultured bacterium
Lineage: Bacteria
Description: partial 16S ribosomal RNA
Rfam family: Bacterial small subunit ribosomal RNA
Source: RNAcentral
AACGUAGGUGGCAAGCGUUGUCCGGAUUGACUGGGCGUAAAGCGCACGCAGGCGGAUGCGCGCGUGGGGUGUGAAAUCUGGCCGCUUAACGGCCAGGCGCCAUCCCAUACGGCGCGUCUGGAGUGAUGCAGAGGUCGAUGGAAUUGCCGGUGUAGUGGUGAAAUGCGUAGAGAUCGGCAGGAACACCCAGGGGGAAACCAGUCGACUGGGCAUCUACUGACGCUGAGGUGCGAGAGCGUGGGGAGCGAACCGG